This 253-nucleotide ribosomal RNA is filed under the name uncultured bacterium. Its description in RNAcentral is "partial 16S ribosomal RNA". It matches the Rfam family "Bacterial small subunit ribosomal RNA", at positions 524 to 776 of the family's 1533-position model. The record is from RNAcentral.
UACAGAGGCCUCGAGCGUUGUUCGGAAUUACUGGGCGUAAAGGGAGUGUAGGUGGUGACGUAAGUCAGAUGUGAAAGCCCUGGGCUUAACCCGGGAAGUGCAUUUGAUACUGCGUCGCUGGAGUACGAGAGAGGAAAGUGGAAUUUUCAGUGUAGGGGUGAAAUGCGUAGAUAUCGGGAGGAACACCAGUGGCGAAGGCGACUACCUGGCCUGUUCUUGACGCUGAGGCGCGAAAGCUAGGGGAGCAAACGGG